GCUCUCCGCGCCUCAGCGAGCGGCCAGGCUGCGGGCGGGGUGGGCUGGCGCUCCUGAUCCACCUGGAACACUUUUGCAAAGACAGACGCGGUUCCUCCUACUUCAGAGCAAGUCUGGGCCAGCUGGGAUCCGACCAGAAAUCGCAAGCGGAGGAGACGCAGUAGCGCAGGCUGAGCGCUAACUGAAGGCGCGACCUGAGCCCGGCGCCUGCUGGGGAGCUGCGCAGCCAGGACAGCGGUCGGCAGCACAGGGCCUGGGCGCAGGGCCCGCCGUCACCACCUCACGUCGGAAGCCAGCACUGCUGCCCGCCAGCCCUGCCGCCUGCCCUCGGACUUCCCAGGGCGCCCAGGGUCCUCCCAACGCGCCUGCACCCACACCCGCCCCUGAGCCACAGUGACCUUGCAUUCCCCGCCCCCUGCCACACCUCCUGCGUGCCCGAGUGUCACCCUUAAAUACCGCUCUACACCCAGAGAGGGACGAAUACACCUCUGAAGACAGGGCAAGACUAAUUUCAAUGGGUCAGAAGGUUCUUGCAGGCACUGUUUUAUUUAAGAGUGCCUAUUUACUGGCAGGAGUAUUUGUGUGGGAGGAAGUAGGCUAAGACUGCUGUUGAACUUGAAGCUAAACUUGAAUGCCAUUUAAAAUAACAAUAAAAAUAUACUUAAAACACCAA
Molecule: long non-coding RNA, 673 nt
Organism: Homo sapiens (human)
Lineage: Eukaryota; Metazoa; Chordata; Mammalia; Primates; Hominidae
Gene: HAGLROS
Product: HAGLR opposite strand lncRNA
Exons: 2
Source: RefSeq, marked validated